GUGAAUCUAUCAUAUUCUUAAUAGCUAAGAUGUGCAUGCAAUUAAAAUUCAUAUCUAUAUGCACAUAAUUGAGUGGUUUUUGCCCUAUAUUUUGUAGUUAGACUAACUACUUCGGACCUAAUGAGUUUGUGGACCAUAUUGUACUUAAAAGUGAUAUAGGUACAUUGGAGAAGCAUUAUUGUCUUGUAUUAUUCAUAAAGAAGGUGGUGUCACCAGGAGGAAAUUUGAGCCAAGAGCAUCUUACUAAUUAAUUACUACUUCAUACCGAUGUUGUCUCGGUAACAAGUAUUUACUUCAUGCAUGUCUAUAAGUAUAGUCAACCUUGUGUAGGUUGCAUCAUAACAUGUAAUAGUACUUAUUGUAUUUGUGUUUUCCUCCGUGUUCUUGAAAACACUCUAUCAUAAUGGUUAGACAGUUGAGUAGAAUCAUCUAAUGGGUAUCUAUAAAAUCAUAUUCAUGAUUUAGUUAUCCCAAGACAUGCCAAUUUAGAAAUUCAUUGCAUAUCAAUUCCUAAAAUGUUCUCUCAUGUGCAAUUUUUCUGAAAUUGCAAAAACACUCUAAUUGCUCAUGCUAUUUGCUAUCUUCCUUGGCAAUUCAUGGUUAUGCAAAUGAGAUCAAUUUGUGCCAUGUUCUUUGUGCCAUGUACCUUGCUCUUAUGUUAGGAUCAGAAGUGUAUAAUAAUGGAUUCACUUGUGCAUAUCAUGUUCUUAUCAAUUCUUACUAAUUUAUGUAUACAAGUUUCUUUUUGGAUACAUAAAAUACCAUUGUCCACUUAGAAAUUUUUGCACAUAAGUAAGUUACCAUCUUUGCGAUAUCACUUGAUCCUUGCUGGUCACUUGGUUCCUUCCUUAUUGAUUCAUUGGAGGUCUUGGUAUGAGGUUUUGAAGUGAGUACUUGUACGUUUUGCAUAUAAUAUUCUGCACUCAUGCGUUUGAAUGUAUUUUGGACCAAUACGUAUCAUGAUGGCCGAUAAUGAUAUUCACAUUAUAUCUUGUCCAAAAUAUGUUGUUUGGAUCUUUGAAUGUUUUCCUCACAUGUCGAAUGCUUAUUUUUCAUAUCAUACCUAUUCCAAUCUCUAGAUCAUGAGCUCCUCAAAUUUCGUGUGAUUGAAUAUGUGCAUUUUAUUUCACUCACAUCUUGUAAUAUGCAUACUUUAAGGAGGAACUCAUUGUCUUCGAGAUUUGUCCCAUUUUGGCAUUUGUUGCCAAUGUGGGAGAAGCUUAGAGGGAUUUAAGAUAAUCUAAAUUGGCAUAUGGAUUAUUGUUUAUUGCAUGAAUGAAUAUAUAUAAAGAAAACUCCAC
This 1301-nucleotide long non-coding RNA is filed under the name Hordeum vulgare. Its description in RNAcentral is "long non-coding RNA (HVUL_LNC012611)". Lineage: Eukaryota; Viridiplantae; Streptophyta; Magnoliopsida; Poales; Poaceae. The record is from RNAcentral.